Molecule: ribosomal RNA, 200 nt
Filed under: uncultured bacterium
Lineage: Bacteria
Description: partial 16S ribosomal RNA
Rfam family: Bacterial small subunit ribosomal RNA
Source: RNAcentral
CACGUAGGGGGCAAGCGUUGUCCGGAUUUAUUGGGCGUAAAGAGCUCGUAGGUGGUUCGGUAAGUCAGGUGUGAAACCUCCAGGCUCAACCUGGAGACGCCACUUGAUACUGCUGUGACUGGAGUCCGGUAGGGGAGCGUGGAAUUCCUGGUGUAGCGGUGAAAUGCGCAGAUAUCAGGAGAACACCAGCGGCGAAGGCG